This 440-nucleotide ribosomal RNA is filed under the name uncultured bacterium. RNAcentral's name for it is "partial 16S ribosomal RNA". It matches the Rfam family "Bacterial small subunit ribosomal RNA", at positions 338 to 795 of the family's 1533-position model. The record is from RNAcentral.
CCUACGGGAGGCAGCAGUGGGGAAUAUUGCACAAUGGGGGAAACCCUGAUGCAGCGACGCCGCGUGAGUGAAGAAGUAUUUCGGUAUGUAAAGCUCUAUCAGCAGGGAAGAAAAUGACGGUACCUGUUUAAGAAGCACCGGCUAACUACGUGCCAGCAGCCGCGGUAAUACGUAGGGGGCAAGCGUUAUCCGGAUUUACUGGGUGUAAAGGGAGCGUAGACGGCAGCACAAGUCUGGAGUGAAAUGCCGGGGCUUAACCCCGGAACUGCUUUGGAAACUGUGCAGCUAGAGUGCAGGAGAGGUGAGUGGAAUUCCUAGUGUAGCGGUGAAAUGCGUAGAUAUUAGGAGGAACACCAGUGGCGAAGGCGGCUUACUGGACUGUGACUGACGUUGAGGCUCGAAAGCGUGGGGAGCAAACAGGAUUAGAUACCCCUGUAGUC